GGCAGAAUGGCUUUGUGGUUAAGGCACUGGGCUGAGAUUCAGGAGAUGAGGGUUCAAUUCCCAGCUUUGCCA
Molecule: transfer RNA, 72 nt
Filed under: Chelonia mydas (Green sea turtle)
Lineage: Eukaryota; Metazoa; Chordata; Testudines; Cheloniidae
Rfam family: tRNA
About the family: Transfer RNA (tRNA) molecules are approximately 80 nucleotides in length. Their secondary structure includes four short double-helical elements and three loops (D, anti-codon, and T loops). Further hydrogen bonds mediate the characteristic L-shaped molecular structure. tRNAs have two regions of fundamental functional importance: the anti-codon, which is responsible for specific mRNA codon recognition, and the 3' end, to which the tRNAs corresponding amino acid is attached (by aminoacyl-tRNA synthetases). tRNAs cope with the degeneracy of the genetic code in two manners: having more than one tRNA (with a specific anti-codon) for a particular amino acid; and 'wobble' base-pairing, i.e. permitting non-standard base-pairing at the 3rd anti-codon position.
Source: Rfam by way of RNAcentral